UGCCAGGUAGGGAGGAUAAAUACGAGCGAUCAUAGCAGAGACUAGAGCUCAAAAUUCUAUAGGAUCUGUGAGGCAAUCUUUUCAUCGAGAAGAUCUUCCUCCUCCUCUAUUGGUAGAGUCCAGCUCUUCGCAUCCUGUAAUCAUUACGAAUGUAUAAAUUGCUACUCUAAUAUAGCAAAUAAAAGUGUGGAUAGAGGUGGU
Molecule: long non-coding RNA, 201 nt
Filed under: Elaeis guineensis (African oil palm)
Lineage: Eukaryota; Viridiplantae; Streptophyta; Magnoliopsida; Arecales; Arecaceae
Description: long non-coding RNA (EGUI_LNC024568)
Source: RNAcentral